RNAcentral lists this ribosomal RNA (255 nucleotides) under uncultured bacterium. RNAcentral's name for it is "partial 16S ribosomal RNA". It matches the Rfam family "Bacterial small subunit ribosomal RNA", at positions 524 to 776 of the family's 1533-position model. The record is from RNAcentral.
UACGUAGGCAGCAAGCGUUGUUCGGAUUUACUGGGCGUAAAGGGCGCGUAGGCGGCCACCGCAAGUCAAUUGUGAAAUCUCCGGGCUCAACCCGGAAAGGUCAACUGAUACUGCGGGGCUAGAGUGCAGAAGGGGCAACUGGAAUUCUCGGUGUAGCGGUGAAAUGCGUAGAUAUCGAGAGGAACACCUGCGGCGAAGGCGGGUUGCUGGGCUGACACUGACGCUGACAGCGCGAAAGCUAGGGGAGCGAACGGG